GCGGCCGUGGCGCAAUUGGUUGACGCAGCAGGUUUAGGUCCUGCCGUCCGAGAGGAUAUGAGGGUUCGAGUCCCUUCGGCCGCACAA
Molecule: transfer RNA, 87 nt
Filed under: Embleya scabrispora
Lineage: Bacteria; Bacillati; Actinomycetota; Actinomycetes; Kitasatosporales; Streptomycetaceae
Description: Streptomyces scabrisporus tRNA-Leu
Rfam family: tRNA
About the family: Transfer RNA (tRNA) molecules are approximately 80 nucleotides in length. Their secondary structure includes four short double-helical elements and three loops (D, anti-codon, and T loops).
Source: RNAcentral